GCAAACUUGGUCAUUUAGAGGAAGUAAAAGUCGUAACAAGGUUUCCGUAGGUGAACCUGCGGAAGGAUCAUUAUCGAAUCGAACAAACCGGGUUGAUGCUGGCCCCUCGGGGCAUGUGCACGCCCGGCCCAUUCGUUUCCUCACCCUUGUGCACUCUUUGUAGGUGCUCUCAAGGAGCUCUUCGCGCCUCUUGGCCCGUCGCGGGGGGACUUGUCGGAUUCGGCUGUCCCUGUUCUCAAGGCUCCUUGGGGUUUGGCCCCUACGAACCAUUUGUACACACCUUUGAUAGCAUGUAUUUGUAUAGUGACGGGGUUGACCCCUCGCGGGCCCCCAUACGCUUUGAUCAAUACAACUUUCAACAACGGAUCUCUUGGCUCUCGCAUCGAUGAAGAACGCAGC
This 399-nucleotide unclassified non-coding RNA is filed under the name uncultured fungus. RNAcentral describes it as "partial contains small subunit ribosomal RNA, internal transcribed spacer 1, and 5.8S ribosomal RNA". The stretch from base 1 to 73 matches the Rfam family "Eukaryotic small subunit ribosomal RNA", at positions 1759 to 1831 of the family's 1831-position model. Lineage: Eukaryota; Fungi. The record is from RNAcentral.